UAUCUGGGGCUCAUCUAGUUGUCCUGGUCUCCGCUGUCUUUCAGGGCUGUAGAGGUCCUUUCUAGGUGCUGAUCCACCAUCUUGUCUGGAUAUGUACUGAAUCCGGGUGACUGCAAUGACCAUCUGUGACGACCUGGGUAUUCAUUGGGUUUUUUCCAGUAGAAGACUGAUGACUCCGCCCCCCCGUAACCCGGUUGCAUCCGUGACACCUGUGCCCAAUUUCCCUUGCCUCUUUAAGAGAAGCAAGCUCGAUGGCAGGGGGCGCGGGCGGCCAACUUGAUUGUUUUUCUGUUUGGUUUGAUAAUGUUUCUUUUUGCAUACAUCACGAGACUACAGCACAGCACAGCACAUUACAUUUUCACACAUACCCUUAGGACGCCAUUACUGACUUUUGAAUACUACCAUACUUUGUUUUGUAUAGCCUAUUUGUCUUAUUUAAAUAAAACGUUUCUUUACGAAUUGGCUCUCUUAUGUCCCAGUUUUUGUUGCGUCCCCUUUUGAGUCACGGUCUAGAUCUAGAUCUAGAUCUUGAAUCUAGAUACAGACUGGAUCUGGUGGCUACGGUGACCUCGAAAAAAGAGAGAAACAGACUAAUAUUAGCUUAGAUGCCAUUCUUCUAACGAUGUAGCAAGGACAUCGGGUGUUAUGGGAAGUGUUCCCGGUUCCGGUUGACCUAAUUAAUGCAGCCUAAAAUUUCUUUAAUGGAUUUGGAUAUUAGAAGCGUAUUAGUAUGUUACAUGUAAGCCAACAGUGUUAGGUAAGUUAUUCCAAAGUUUAGGCCCUAAAUAGGAAAAGGAUCUGCCGCCCGCAGUUGAUUUUGAUAUUCUAGGUUUUAUCAAAUUACCAGAGUUUUGAGAACACAGUGGAAGUGGAGGACUAUAAUGUAACAAGAGCUCAUUCAAAUACUGAGGUGCUAAACCAUUCAGGGCUUUAUAAGUAAUAAGCAAGAUUUUUAAAUCUAUACAAUGUUAAAUAGAUAGCCAGUUCAGUGAUGACAGAACCGGGCUAAUAUGGUCAUACUUCCUGGUUCUAUUAAGAAAAAGAAAGCUGCUGCAUUUUGAACCAGCUGUUUGUUUAUUAAGCAUGCAGAACAACCACCCAAUAAAGCAUUACAAUAAUCUAAACUUGAGGACAUAAACGCAUGGAUUAACAUUUCUGCAUUUGACAUUGAGAGCAUAGGUCGUAAUUUAGAUAUAUUUUUGAGAUGGAAAAAUGCAGUUUUACAAAUGCUAGAAACGUGGCUUUCUAAGGAAAGCUUGCUAUCAAAUAGCACACCUAGAUUCCUAACUGAUGACGAAGAAUUGACAGAGCAGCCAUCAAGUCUUAGACAGUGUUCUAGGUUAUUACAUGCAGAGUUUUUAGGUCCUAUAAUUAACACCUCUGUUUUUUUUCAGCAUUUAGUAGUUUCCUGAUGAUUUCUCCCAAGGGUAACAUGUAAACGUGUAGAGUAACGGCCCUAGUAAUGAGCCUUGAGGUACUCCAUACUGCACUUGUGAUCGAUAUGAUAUCUCUUCAUUCACUGCUACGAAUUGAUGACGGUCAUAUAAGUACGAUUUAAACCAUGCUAAUGCACUUCCAUUAAUGCCAACAAAGUUUUCUAGUCUAUGCAAAAGAAUGUUGUGGUCAAUAGUGUCGAAUACAGCGCUAAGAUCCAAUAGCACUAAUAGAGAGAUACAACCACGAUCAGAUGAUAAGAGCAGGUCAUUUGUAACUCUAAUUAGAGCAGUCUCAGUAGUAUGAUACGGUCUAAAUCCUGACUGGAAAUCCUCCCAGAUACCAUUUUUCUCUAAGAAGGAAUAUAAUUGUGAGGAUACUACCUUUUCUAGUAUCUUGGACAGAAAAGGUAGAUUCAAGAUCGGUCCAAUUAACUAGUUAUUUGGGGUCAAGUUGUGUUUUUUUCAUUAGAGGCUUAAUAACAGCCAGUUUGAAGGUUUUGGGGACAUAUCCUAAUGACAAUGAUGAAUUAAUAAUAGUCAGAAGAGGAUCUAUGACUUCUGGAAGCACCUCUUUUAGGAGCUUAGAUGGAAUAGGGUCUAACAUACAUGUUGUUGGUUUAGAUGAUUUAACAAGUUUAUUCAAUUCUUCCUCUCCAAUAGUAGAGAAUGAGUGGAAUUGUUCCUCAGGCGAUCUAUAGCACGCCAUCUGAUGCGAUGCUAUAACUGACGGCUGCAUGGUUACAAUUUUAUCUCUAAUAGUAUCGAUCUUAGAAGUAAAGUAGUUCAAAAAGUCAUUACUGCUGUGCUGUUGGGAAAUGUCAACACUUGUUGAUGCUUUAUUUUUCGUUAAUUUAGCCACUGUAUUGAAUAAAUACCUGGGGUUAUGUUUGUUCUCUUUUAAAAGAUCUAACAGUUUUAAAUGCAUUUCUAUAGGAUAGGUUACUUUCCCGCCAAGCAAUACAAAAUGCCUCUAGUUUUGUUUUCCUCCAGCUGCGCUCCAUUUUCUGUGCUGCUCUCUUUAGGGUGCGAGUGUGCUCAUUAUACCACAGUGUCAGACUGUUUUCCUUAAUCUUCCUUAAGCGUAAAGGAGCAACUGUAUUUAAAAUGCUAGAAAAGAGAGAGUCCAUAGUUUCUGUUACAUCAUCAAGUUGUUCUGAGGUUUUGAAUAUGCUAAGGAAUUGGGAUAUAUCAGGAAGACUACUCGCAAAGCAGUCUUUUGUGGUAGAAGUGAUGGUUCUACCAUACUUAUAACAAGAAGUAGAAUUUACAGUUUUAGCUAUAUGAAGUUUGCACAAAACUAAAUAAUGACCUGAGAUAUCAUCGCUUGGCUGCAUAAUUUCAACACCAUCAACAUCAAUUCAAUAUGCAAGUAUUAGAUCUAGAGUAUGAUUUCGACAAUGGGUAGGUCCUGACACCUGUUGUCUAUCCCCAGUAGAGUUCAGAAUGUCUAUGAAUGCUGAUUCCAAUGUAUCUUUUUCAUUAUCAACAUGGAUAAUAAAAUCACCAACAAUUAAAACUUUAUCUCCAGCCAGCACUAACUUGGAUAUAAAAUCAGCACAUUCUUUAAUAAAGUCUGUAUGGUGCCCUGGUGGCAUGUAUACAGUAGCCAGUACAAACAUAACACAUCAUUAACACUUGUUUCUCUGGACAAUGUUAUAUGAAGCACUAUUACUUCAAACGAGUUAUACCUGAAGCCUGCCCUCUGAGAAAUACUGAAAACAUUGUUAUAAAUUGAAGCAACACCUCCCCCUUUACCUUUUGGAUGUGGCUCAUGUUUAUAACAGUAAUCUUGGGGGUAGACUGUUUAAUAGGUUGCCAGUUCAGUGUUGACAGAACCGGCUAAUAUGGUCAUACUUCUUAGAAUGAUCAUAUCAUUUACAAAAAUUGCUUUCGUAGAAAGGGACCUGAUAUUCAAUAAACCAAGCUUUUUAUUUGUUUAUCCGUAUUACAUCUGUGUUGAACAUCAAUUAAAUUGUUACUCUUAAAUUGGUAUGUACGUUUUUUGUAUCUUCUAGUUUGGGGAACAGACACAGUCUCUAUAGUGUGAUAUCUAGGUGAAAGAGUCUCUAUGUGCUGAGAAUUAACUGAUUUCUGUGACAUGAGGCGGCUAGCAGACGGUCGGUUUAGCCAGUCUGUCUGCUUCCUGACCUGUGCCCCAGUUAGUCAAGUACAAACUCUAAGACUAUGUGCCAUAUUUCUAGACAGAAAAGUGUCUCCACCUCAGGAGGGAUGAAGACCAUCUCUUUUCAACAGGUCAGUUCUGCCCCAAAAACUAGUCCAAUUGUCUAUGAAACCUAUGUUAUUCUGCGGGCACCACUUAGACAUCCAGCCAUUGAGUGAUGACAGUCUGCUAUUUAUCUCAUCACCACAGUAAGCAGGGAGGGGACCAGAGCAUAUUACAGUGUCUGACAUUGUGCUUGCAAGUUCACACACCUCUUUAAUGUUAUUUUUAGUGAUCUCCGACUGGCAAAGUCAAACAUCAGUAGCACCGGCGUGAAUAACAAUCUUACUGUAUUUACGUUUAGCAUUAGCCAGCACUUUUAAAUUUGACAAGAUGUCAGGCACUCUGGCUCCCAGUAAACAUUGGACUAUGGUGUCUGGUGUCUCUAUUUUCAUGUUCCAUACAACAGAAUCACCAAUAACUAGAGCACUUUGAUCAGGGAUCAGGUUUCAGUGGGUGCAUCACUGAGUGGGGAGAACCUGUUUAAUGCUUUGAUCGGAACAGAAUAGCGGUGUUUUGACCCGCGACUAUGCCGCCUCACAGUUACCCAGUUGCCCUGCUGCGGAGGCGCUGUUACCGAAACCGAACAAUGUACAGGACUCCCUGAGCAUCCAAAGCAGAAUCUAGAGCCCUCACAUUCUUACUGUCCUCAAUUAAAGUCUGGAUGCGUGUCUCUAAUUGUGAAAUCUUCUCUGUCAGCCUAACUAUUUCCCUGCAUUUAUCACAUGUGAAUCCCUCGUCGCCGACA
Long non-coding RNA from Cyprinus carpio carpio, 4405 nucleotides. Lineage: Eukaryota; Metazoa; Chordata; Actinopteri; Cypriniformes; Cyprinidae. The record is from Ensembl.